RNAcentral lists this transfer RNA (77 nucleotides) under Clavibacter michiganensis. RNAcentral's name for it is "tRNA-Ile". It matches the Rfam family "tRNA". From Rfam's summary of the family: Transfer RNA (tRNA) molecules are approximately 80 nucleotides in length. Their secondary structure includes four short double-helical elements and three loops (D, anti-codon, and T loops). Further hydrogen bonds mediate the characteristic L-shaped molecular structure. tRNAs have two regions of fundamental functional importance: the anti-codon, which is responsible for specific mRNA codon recognition, and the 3' end, to which the tRNAs corresponding amino acid is attached (by aminoacyl-tRNA synthetases). tRNAs cope with the degeneracy of the genetic code in two manners: having more than one tRNA (with a specific anti-codon) for a particular amino acid; and 'wobble' base-pairing, i.e. permitting non-standard base-pairing at the 3rd anti-codon position. Lineage: Bacteria; Bacillati; Actinomycetota; Actinomycetes; Micrococcales; Microbacteriaceae. RNAcentral also lists the same sequence under 2 other names. The record is from RNAcentral.
GGGGAUAUAGCUCAGGUGGUUAGAGCGCUUCACUGAUAAUGAAGAGGUCCCAGGUUCAAAUCCUGGUAUCCCCACCA